AUUGAACGCUGGCGGCGUGCUUAACACAUGCAAGUCGAUCGGUAACAGGUGUAGCAAUACAUGCUGACGAGAGGCGGACGGGUGAGUAAUGCUUGGGAAUCUGCCUAUUAGUGGGGGACAACCCGGGGAAACUCGGGCUAAUACCGCAUACGCUCUACGGAGGAAAGCCGGGGACCGCAAGGCCUGGCGCUAAUAGAUGAGCCCAAGUCGGAUUAGCUAGUUGGUAGGGUAACGGCCUACCAAGGCGACAAUCCGUAGCUGGUCUGAGAGGACGACCAGCCACACCGGAACUGAGACACGGUCCGGACUCCUACGGGAGGCAGCAGUGGGGAAUAUUGGACAAUGGGGGCAACCCUGAUCCAGCGACGCCGCGUGUGUGAAGAAGGCCUGCGGGUUGU
RNAcentral lists this ribosomal RNA (398 nucleotides) under uncultured bacterium. RNAcentral's name for it is "bacterial SSU rRNA". It matches the Rfam family "Bacterial small subunit ribosomal RNA", at positions 29 to 426 of the family's 1533-position model. The record is from RNAcentral.